GACAGACACAGAGGCUGAAAUGGAACCCUAUUCAUUAUAUAGUGCACUCGUUUUGAGCAGGGUCAUGGUAGGGAGUAGGGUGCAUUUUCUGGAUGCACAGAGGGGAUAGAAUAGGCCCAGCUAACUGAGGUCUGUGGUAGAAUAGGCCCAGCUAACGGAGGUCUGUGGUAGAAUAGGCCCAGCUAACGGAGGUCUGUGGUAGAAUAGGCCCAGCUAACGGAGGUCUGUGGUAGAAUAGGCCCAGCUAACGGAGGUCUGUGGUAGAAUAGGCCCAGCUAACGGAGGUCUGUGGUAGAAUAGGCCCAGCUAACGGAGGUCUGUGGUAGAAUAGGCCCAGCUAACGGAGGUCUGUGGUAGAAUAGGCCCAGCUAACGGAGGUCUGUGGUAGAAUAGGCCCAGCUAACGGAGGUCUGUGGUAGAAUAGGCCCAGCUAACGGAGGUCUGUGGUAGAAUAGGCCCAGCUAACGGAGGUCUGUGGUAGAAUAGGCCCAGCUAACUGACUGAGGUCUGUGGUAGAAUAGGCCCAGCUAACGGAGGUCUGUGGUAGAAUAGGCCCAGCUAACGGAGGUCUGUGGUAGAAUAGGCCCAGCUAACGGAGGUCUGUGGUAGAAUAGGCCCAGCUAACGGAGGUCUGUGGUAGAAUAGGCCCAGCUAACUGACAGGUCUGUGGUAGAAUAGGCCCAGCUAACUGAGGUCUGUGGUAGAAUAGGCCCAGCUAACUGAGGUCUGUGGUGGAAUAGGCCCAGCUAACUGAGGUCUGUGGUAGAAUAGGCCCAGCUAACGGAGGUCUGUGGUAGAAUAGGCCCAGCUAACUGAGGUCUGUGGUAGAAUAGGCCCAGCUAACUGAGGUCUGUGGUAGAAUAGGCCCAGCUAACUGAGGUCUGUGGUAGAAUAGGCCCAGCUAACUGAGGUCUGUGGUAGAAUAGGCCCAGCUAACUGAGGUCUGUGGUAGAAUAGGCCCAGCUAACUGAGGUCUGUGGUAGAAUAGGCCCAGCUAACUGAGGUCUGUGGUAGAAUAGGCCCAGCUAACUGAGGUCUGUGGUAGAAUAGGCCCAGCUAACUGAGGUCUGUGGUAGAAUAGGCCCAGCUAAAUAACCGGGGUCUGUGGUGGAAUAGGCCCAGCUAACUGACUGAGGUCUGUGGUAGAAUAGGCCCAGCUAACUGAGGUCUGUGGUAGAAUAGGCCCAGCUAACUAACCGGGGUCUGUGGUGGAAUCUGAUUACGGAGAAGCCUAU
Molecule: long non-coding RNA, 1235 nt
Organism: Oncorhynchus keta (chum salmon)
Lineage: Eukaryota; Metazoa; Chordata; Actinopteri; Salmoniformes; Salmonidae
Exons: 5
Source: RefSeq, a predicted model, not a curated record